This 440-nucleotide ribosomal RNA is filed under the name uncultured bacterium. RNAcentral describes it as "partial 16S ribosomal RNA". It matches the Rfam family "Bacterial small subunit ribosomal RNA", at positions 338 to 795 of the family's 1533-position model. The record is from RNAcentral.
CCUACGGGAGGCAGCAGUGGGGGAUAUUGCACAAUGGGGGGAACCCUGAUGCAGCGACGCCGCGUGGGUGAAGAAGCGCCUCGGCGCGUAAAGCCCUGUCAGCAGGGAAGAAAAUGACGGUACCUGAAUAAGAAGCCCCGGCUGACUCCGUGCCAGCAGCCGCGGUCAUACGUAGGGGGCAAGCGUUAUCCGGAUUGACUGGGUGUAAAGGUGGCGCAGACGGCGAUGCAAGCCAGGAGGGAAAGCCCGGGGCCCAACCCCGGGACUGCUCUUGGAACUGAGUGGCUGGAGUGCAGGAGGGGCAGGCGGAAUUCCUGGUGUAGCGGUGAAAUGCGUAGAUAUCAGGAGGAACACCGGUGGCGAAGGCGGCCUGCUGGACUGCAACUGACGUUGAGGCCCGAAAGCGUGGGGAGCAAACAGGAUUAGAUACCCGUGUAGUC